GCAUUUUUAUAUCCGGAUUCUCCGAGCGUUUCUGAGCUCCACGGUUCCCGACGCUGUCGGCACAUGCGCGACGGCCCUGCUCCCUCUUCCUCCUCCUCCAGUGGCUUCCACCGUCCGGGCAGCCACCGCCACCGCCGCCCAGGAGUCAGGAAGUUCAAGAUGGCCGCCGCGGAGGCUCAGUCGCUGCGGGAACAGCCAGAGAUGGAAGAUGCUGAUAAUUCUGAAAAGAGUGUAAAUGAAGAAAAUGGAGAAGUAUCAGAAGACCAAUCUCAAAAUAAGCACAGUCGUCACAAAAAAAAGAAGCAUAAACACAGAAGUAAACAUAAGAAACAUAAACAUUCUUCAGAAGAAGACAAGGAUAAAAAACAUAAACAUAAGCAUAAACAUAAGAAACACAAAAGAAAAGAGGUUAUUGAUGCUUCUGACAAAGAAGGUAUGUCUCCAGCAAAAAGAACUAAACUUGAUGAUUUAGCUUUGCUGGAAGACUUGGAGAAACAGAGGGCCUUGAUUAAAGCUGAACUUGAUAAUGAGUUAAUGGAAGGAAAGGUCCAGUCUGGGAUGGGGCUCAUAUUACAAGGUUAUGAGUCUGGCUCCGAAGAGGAGGGGGAGAUUCAUGAAAAGGCACGAAAUGGAAAUAGGUCUAGUACUAGAUCUUCAAGUACGAAGGGGAAACUUGAACUUAUGGACAAUAAAAAUAGUACAAAAAAACGAAGUAAAAGCAGAUCCAAAGAACGGACUAGACAUAGGUCUGAUAAAAAGAAAAGUAAGGGAGGUGUUGAAAUAGUUAAAGAGAAGGCAACGAGGAGCAAGUCAAAGGAGAGGAAAAAGUCCAAGAGUCCCUCCAAAAGAAGUAAGUCUCAAGAUCAAGCAAGAAAGUCAAAGUCUCCUACCCUUAGAAGGCGCUCUCAAGAGAAAAUUGGGAAGGCCAGAUCUCCUGCUGAUGACAAGGUUAAAAUAGAAGAUAAAAGUAAGUCAAAAGAUAGGAAAAAAUCCCCAAUUAUCAAUGAAAGUAGAAGUCGUGAUCGAGGCAAAAAAUCUAGAUCCCCAAUUGACUUGAGAGGUAAGUCCAAAGACAGAAGGUCACGGUCCAAAGAGAGAAAAUCGAAACGGUCUGAAACUGAUAAAGAGAAGAAGCCAGUUAAAUCUCCCUCUAAAGAUGCUUCCUCUGGGAAAGAGAAUCGGUCACCCAGUAGAAGACCUGGUCGUAGUCCCAAAAGAAGAAGUUUGUCUCCGAAACAACGUGAUAAGUCAAGAAGAAGUCGAUCUCCACUCUUAAAUGAUAGAAGGUCUAAGCAAAGCAAGUCACCUUCUCGAACUCUGUCUCCUGGUAGGAGAGCCAAGAGCCGAUCCUUGGAAAGAAAACGCAGGGAUCCUGAACGGAGACGCCUUUCUUCGCCAAGAACACGACCUCGAGAUGAUAUCCUCAGUAGGCGGGAAAGAUCAAAAGAUGCCAGCCCAAUCAGUAGGUGGUCUCCAGCCCGAAGAAGAGCCAGUAGAUCUCCUGUUAGGAGGAGGUCCCGCUCCCCCCUCAGACGGAGCCGAUCUCCCAGAAGAAGAAGCAGGUCUCCUCGAAGAAGGGACAGGGGCCGAAGGAGCAGAUCACGCCUGAGAAGGCGGUCUCGGUCACGGGGUGGUCGUAGACGUAGGAGCAGAAGCAAAGUAAAGGAAGAUAAAUUUAAAGGAAGUCUUUCUGAAGGCAUGAAAGUUGAGCAGGAAUCUUCAUCUGAUGAUAACCUUGAAGACUUUGAUGUUGAGGAGGAAGAUGAAGAAGCCUUGAUAGAACAGAGAAGAAUACAAAGGCAGGCCAUUGUUCAGAAAUACAAAUACCUUGCUGAGGACAGCAACAUGUCCGUGCCGUCUGAGCCCAGCAGCCCCCAGAGCAGCACUCGCACCCGCUCUCCCUCUCCUGAGGACAUUCUGGAAAGGGUAGCUGCCGACGUCAAGGAGUAUGAACGGGAGAAUGUUGAUACAUUUGAGGCCUCAGUCAAAGCCAAGCAUAAUCUCAUGACAGUCGAACAGAAUAAUGGUUCAUCUCAGAAGAAGCUGUUGGCACCCGAUAUGUUUACAGAAUCUGAUGAUAUGUUUGCUGCGUAUUUUGACAGUGCGCGUCUGCGGGCUGCUGGCAUUGGAAAAGAUUUCAAAGAGAAUCCCAACCUCAGGGAUAACUGGACUGAUGCAGAAGGCUAUUAUCGUGUGAACAUAGGUGAAGUCCUGGAUAAGCGUUAUAACGUGUAUGGCUACACGGGUCAAGGCGUGUUCAGUAACGUGGUCCGAGCCAGGGAUAAUGCGAGGGCCAACCAGGAGGUGGCCGUGAAGAUCAUUAGGAACAACGAGCUCAUGCAAAAAACUGGUUUAAAAGAAUUAGAAUUCUUGAAAAAACUGAACGAUGCUGAUCCUGAUGACAAAUUUCAUUGUUUGCGACUCUUCAGACACUUUUAUCACAAACAGCAUCUCUGCCUCGUGUUUGAGCCUCUGAGUAUGAAUUUACGAGAGGUGUUAAAAAAAUAUGGUAAGGAUGUUGGCCUUCAUAUUAAGGCUGUACGAUCCUAUAGUCAGCAGUUGUUCUUGGCACUAAAACUCCUUAAAAGAUGCAAUAUCCUCCAUGCAGAUAUCAAGCCAGACAAUAUCUUGGUUAAUGAAUCAAAAACUAUUUUAAAGCUCUGCGACUUUGGGUCGGCUUCACAUGUUGCGGAUAAUGACAUAACGCCUUACCUUGUCAGUAGAUUUUAUCGCGCUCCUGAAAUCAUUAUAGGUAAAAGCUAUGACUAUGGUAUAGAUAUGUGGUCCGUAGGCUGCACCUUGUAUGAACUCUAUACUGGAAAGAUUUUAUUUCCUGGCAAAACCAAUAACCAUAUGUUGAAGCUCGCCAUGGAUCUCAAAGGAAAGAUGCCAAAUAAGAUGAUUCGGAAAGGCGUAUUUAAAGACCAACAUUUUGAUCAAAACCUCAACUUCAUGUACAUAGAAGUUGAUAAAGUAACAGAGAGGGAGAAAGUUACUGUCAUGAGCACCAUUAAUCCAACUAAGGACCUGUUGGCUGACUUGAUUGGGUGCCAGCGACUUCCUGAAGACCAGCGUAAAAAAGUGCACCAGCUGAAGGACUUGUUGGACCAGAUCCUAAUGUUGGACCCAGCUAAACGGAUUAGCAUCAACCAGGCCCUGCAGCAUGCCUUCAUCCAGGAGAAGAUUUAAACGAGAUGAAGAAGCUCCCAGGGUUUGAGUAAUUAAAUACAAAGACUGAAGAAAUUUCACAGCAGUUUAUUAAUGUAUAUAAACUUAUAAAUAUUUCUCCAGCAAAUUUGAGGAAGCAUGAUAUAUUUGAAUUAACACCAAGGGUGAUAUUUCUUUUAGAAAUGUUAGUUAAUCUGUUUUGUGUCUUAUGUGAAAUUUCACUGUAGAAAUGUCUUAAUCGCCAAGACUGCACAGAAUUACAGUGCUAAUGUAAAUGGUUGCAGUUCACAGAAAAGACAAAAAGAGCAUCUGUUAUAAAAUGAGUAGUAAUACUGGGUGGUUGAUUUAUUUUUAGCAAACUUGGCUUCAUUUUGGUCUUCAGAUAAAAUGGCCAGCAUAAAUGCUGUUUAUAUUCACGUUUUCCUAGGUGUGUGUGUGCAGGCCACAGCAGCAUGCCCUGGGUGUAGUCAGUGCCGAAAGGGGUCUGUUCCUUCUUGAGCCUGCCUGCAGGGAUGGUCUCCUCUUUUAAAGCAGGUUGUGUACAACAUUCAGUACACUGAAGGUAAGCUAAACCAUCAACAUCACUGGUGUUUUAAGAUGUUAUUUUAUUGGAACAAUUGACAAACGAGGGAUAUUAGCUUUGUGGCAGAAUUCCCUGCAUGUGUGAUAACUGAUCUUGUUUUAUUUUUUGGCAUUGCAACUGUGGCAUAGUUACAAUUUCUGUUCUGUUCAUCACCUUUAAAAUUUGAAGAGUAUGCGCUUGAUGGAUAGAGCGCCUUCAGUGUACUGUUUCUUAUUAACUUUAAUUUUUUUUAAAUCAACUUGCUAUAGACUUUAUAUACAUUUUGUUAAAUACAGUUCCUAGUGACAUAGAAACAAUGCGUAGUUUUCAUUUACUAAUAACAAAUGUUGAGGCCUAAUUCUGGAAGUCCUCAUAUUUAAAAGUUAGAUAGACAACAUAAUGAAAUUUUUAACUAUUUGUAUGUCAUUUUGAAAGUGUACUGCUUUAUGGUAAAAGUGUUUUUCAUUUGUUCAUUGUUUUCAUUAUUUGUGAUCAUGUUGUCUUUCAAUACAGGCAUAAACCUUCCACUCUUGAACAAAGCAGCUGCUUUUUAAAAGCGAGAAAAAGGAAAACGGGGCACAGGCCACUCACCGCCUUCUCCAAGGGGUCUGAUUUGCUGAGACACCAGCUUCACCUUCUUAACAAGGUUAUUUCUGACAGCAUGUGUAGAUAAACAUUUAGCAACAAUUUAAAACAAAAUCAUGUAAAUCGGUUUGGUUUUGCAACACGAAGAAGUUAGUAUUUUUUAACAUGAUAGCAGAGAAUUUUCAGAAAUGUGUGUAAUCUUUUCUGUUUGGGUGGUAAAAAUUAAUGCUUGUCUCCCUGAGGAAUGUGGAAGAUGAUCAGAUUUUAGGGGUUUAAAUAAUAUUUUAAAACGGUAAAUGGGAUCUUUUUAUUCACCCAGGCACCUAAUUACAACAAGCAUGCACGUUUUGGUGCAUUCAAGAAUGGAAAAUCAGAGUAGCAGCAUUCUUCUGGUGGGUUUUACUCCAUUUAAAGGCAUGAAAUGAACCACAGCCAGGAAGGUGAUAGAUGCCACAGUAGGGCAGCUUUGACUCUGUGCCCCCAUCUCCUCGUGGUUUAGGCGUAAACUGACGUAAAUGCCAGGCGGCGCUCAUCCUCGGGUGGUGACGCCCUGUAAACAAGGCGUCACGGGUGCAGCUCUCCUACCUGGAUGAGACGGGUAGUGAUUUUCCCACCACUGUUUACUUUGGAGAUAAGAUGCUGCAUAGUCAAGUCUUUCCUAGUUAUUUUCACUCAAAAUAUCGAUAGUUAACGUUUGUAUGUUUCUGGUGAUUUUCAUGGCUUCGUUUUAUAUACUUAUUUAAGUAAGUUAACUUCCACUAGAGACAGUUCAUCUUAUGCCUUCAAAACUGUUACGUGUUCUUUAAAAAACAAAGUUGCUUGUUACUUGUUCUUUGUGUUCUAGGUGCAGCUCAGUGGAAGAUGAUGACACCAGAAGACAUGAGCUAAGGUUUCUGUCCUAUAAAAGAUUAAACAAACAAAAAAAAGAAUCCUCCGUUUAAUUUUUGUCUAGUUCUUUAGUUUUCAGCAUGAUGAUUUGGGGUGCGUUACUGUUUGGUGCUCAGAGAGUGGUGCUCCUGUGUCCAUUGUAAAGCUUGCGCUUUAUCGUGCGUCCUGCCUCUCCCCCGCUUCCCUCCCCUAGGAGGAGGAGAGCAGUCAGAUCUAGCGUUGUUGGCCACGUGGCUGGUGAGAUUCCACAUCACACGUGGUUGUCAGAAUUGGUCCCCAAGGAUUGUUAGAAAAACACUGGCCACCAGAAGAGCAUCCAUCUGAAGGUGGUCUUCCGCAUGAGGUGCCACGUCUCCUUGGCUGAUGCACCAGGGUAGAAAGGAACCCUAAGAGCACUGCUCUGCUCCUAAGAGCACGCCCUCUCCUCCAGCUCACCCUCAGUGUCUGUGUUCAGCCAGUGCUCCGCUCACGGCCUUGAAAUAGACCAGACAUCCAGACCACUGCCAGCGUUCCUUCUUAAGGGGAGCGCGAGGGCACGUUCUCUAGCUCUUUGAAAUUCCCGAACUCGGCAUUCCUUGAUUUACCCAUUUGAAAGGAACCCUGUAAGCAGUGUUUAUCCACACACACGUAAUUGUGUUGGAGCCUGUACUGUUCUAAGGCAGAGAGACGUGGAGCUCCGCAAGCCCUCUGCCGGGUGGGCCCAGGGCAUGAACGGUCCUCCGCAGACGCGCGCUCCGUUGCUACGUAGUUUCUCUCACGAAGGUUUUGCUGUAUCUCACUUUGUGGCAAAAAUGGUGCCAAGCGAUUGUGAGACUUCGGGGUCCAUAGGUCCUAGGACAUAACCCACAAAGAUGGCAUAGUCCUCUCUGUAGUUGGGGGAAUUGUUGCGCUUACACAUUUUAGACACCGUUCUCUGGGUAGACGUGCUCUCGAAGGUUCUCAGAAGUCAGGCUGGAACGUCAGGGCUUUGAAGGGAGGGUCUCGUCAUACGCUGUAAGGCCCUCCCAGCAUUUGUAUGCACCCUCACCUUCAAGUCCUUAGUAAUAGCGUCCUGUUUCUUUAUUCCCCAGUGCCUGUUUCAUUCCACUCUCCUCUUUCUCAGAAUAAUUUUGUGUUUAAGAAAUAUAUAUUUUUUUGCCAUUACAAUUGCCGCUUGCUUUUGCUGCCUAAAACAAAUGCUCAGGACGUUUUUACAGUCAGUGUUUCGGGGGUGUGGUGGAGGCAGUGGGGUGCGGCGCUCUCAGGUUUGGCCCCUCGCCUUCGCCUGGGCUUCGCUAGCUGACCGGGGAGAAGGAGAAUCUCUGAAACGGGAACCACACGUCUUCAGACUUAGGCCGAGCAGUUGAGGGAAGAACCCCCUUGAAAUGUCGAGAUAGGAAAGAAGCCAGCUAUCAAAUGCACAGUUACGUUAUGUUAGUUUUCAUGACAUUGUCAGAAACUGGGCUUCAUAAAGUGUUUUCUUUUUCAUAGAAUCCUAGUUCAGGCGUCUGUUUAACGUGAAUUUUAUCAUUCUUUUCUGAGACGAAAUGUCCUUAUAGAAAUGUUCACUACAAAUUCAUGUGUUUUACAUGUCAAUGAAUGUACACUAAAUUGACUUUUUAAAUGCUUUCCAGUUAUUCUGAUAGGUAUCAUCAUGGUGUCUUUGA
This is an RNA transcript of Physeter macrocephalus (sperm whale), 6849 nucleotides long. It is a transcript of the gene named pre-mRNA processing factor kinase PRP4K, with no coding region annotated. The transcript is spliced from 16 exons. The record is from RefSeq and is a predicted model, not a curated record. NCBI's taxonomy places the organism in Eukaryota, Metazoa, Chordata, Mammalia, Artiodactyla, Physeteridae.